AGCGAACGCUGGCGGCAGGCUUAACACAUGCAAGUCGAGCGGGCCUUUCGGGGUCAGCGGCGGACGGGUGAGUAACGCGUGGGAACGUGCCCUCUGGUUCGGAAUAACUCAGGGAAACUUGAGCUAAUACCGGAUACGCCCUUUUGGGGAAAGGCUUGCUGCCGGAGGAUCGUCCCGCGUCAGAUUAGCUAGUUGGUGAGGUAACGGCUCACCAAGGCGACGAUCAGUAGCUGGUCUGAGAGGAUGAUCAGCCACACUGGGACUGAGACACGGCCCAGACUCCUACGGGAGGCAGCAGUGGGGAAUAUUGGACAAUGGGCGCAAGCCUGAUCCAGCCAUGCCGCGUGAGUGAUGAAGGCCUUAGGGUUGUAAAGCUCUUUUAUCCGGGACGAUAAUGACGGUACCGGAGGAAUAAGCCCCGGCUAACUUCGUG
Molecule: ribosomal RNA, 433 nt
Filed under: uncultured bacterium
Lineage: Bacteria
Description: partial 16S ribosomal RNA
Rfam family: Bacterial small subunit ribosomal RNA
Source: RNAcentral